This is a long non-coding RNA of Sapajus apella (tufted capuchin), 3317 nucleotides long. RefSeq lists it as uncharacterized. The record is from RefSeq and is a predicted model, not a curated record. The transcript is spliced from 3 exons. NCBI's taxonomy places the organism in Eukaryota, Metazoa, Chordata, Mammalia, Primates, Cebidae.
UCCCAAAGUGUUGGGAUUGCAGGUGUGAGCCACCACGCCCCAGUCAGUAAAGUUGGUAUACAACUUCCCACUGCUAAAUUUGACUGGCUUAAAAAAAAAACAAAAACAAAGAAGAGCUGUGGAAGGGCCUGUCAAUUAUCAGAGAAGCUGGAUUAGAAUCCCCUUCCCAACAACAUACACAUCAGAGAUUUUGUCCAGGUGGCAGAAAAGUAGAAUUUUGCAGAGCACUCAGCUGUAGCUGAUCCACCAGUUGAAUAAUUGAGGAAGAUAGUGAUUUGUGAAAUACAAAUAAACAUGAUAUAUAUUGAAAGAAAAAUUAUAGCCUAGUGGUCACAGGUCCUGGUCUUAAAAGCUUGCUAGCUUGAGGGUAUUGAUCAUGUUGAAAGAGCCAGGCCAGUAGAGGAGAAGCAGAAUUACCAGAAAUGCUGGCUCUAUUCUGCCCACUCAUGGCAGGCCCCACCUUUCUCUUGUCUUUUUAUUCCCACACUUCCACAGUGGGUGUGGCAGAGUUCUGCUUGCCCAGCCUUUAAUCCUGGAACAUCUGCUACCAGAGGUUGACCCUGACUGGGCUAGGCCCACAGGCCACUUACAGGCAUUAUAUUCCCUUCCCCUUCAGACAAACAGGAAGCUGCCUGCACACUCUUAGUGAUUGGCACUUUCAGAAGCUUUUUGGGGCAGGGAGAGCAAAACGUUGAGAUCAGACUCCAAAAGGAAAAGGAAAUGAUAUUUUAAAUAAUUUCCUGGGUUACUUGAGAAGGUGUGGAUCCACAGUAUCUCCAGGCAUUUAUUGUAGGCCAGGCUUGUAGGAAUAUUUGUGUUUCCAUACUUGGUGUUUUGACUUUGGGGAAGUCCCUUAAACUCCCUGAGCCUCCCCUUCUCCCAUUGGUAAAGUGGGAAUGAUAAUGUGUUAACCUUAGAAUUGGUGGUGGGAAACUUGGAUAAGUUAACAUUGGAAGGCUCUGAAAUGUUAGCUCUGUAGAAAAUCAAGUGUACAGGAUUCAGGUGCUCAAAGAAGUUUAAAUCAUGUUUUAAUAGUCUCUGUUGACAAAAGUAGUAGUGUGUCAGUAGAUGAAAGACUUUUAGCUCACCAUUAAGAAUGGUUAUGAUCCUUAAAAGGGUGAGCCUCCGUUAUCAGAAAAUGUCCCCUUCUGUGGAACAGCUCAUUUAUAGACCAUUUAGGACCAAUGAGGCAUUGCCACAUAAUCAUCUCUUAACUAUCCAUAAUAAAACUCUCUUUUCAGCUACCUGUGGAUUGCCUAUUCUAAAUAAGGUGAGCCCAGGGAAUACCAGCUCUUCUGAUAGUCCAAAUAACACAUAAUUAGUUAUGCAAACCUGUCCCAAAAGUUCCCAGGGUGAAAUGGUUAGGUUGCUAUUGAGUAAUCCAUAGAGUAUUACUCUUAUGUUGCCGUGGGUAACUGACCUUCACUAUAAAGGCAAAUGGUUAACUUUGCACUCUGGAGCAAGGAAAGUGAUAGACUUCUAUUUCUCAGGUCAUUUGUGAUCUCACUGACCAUCCCUGCAGCUGCGAACUCAGAGGCAGCACAUUUAUGAGAAUGGGAUUGGAAAGGAGGCAAUCCUUCAAAGAUUGGAGGUUGAGAAGACAUGGUUGAGUGUGCCCUGCAUAGAAUUUUAUUCCAGGGAGAGUUGAGUAGGUCUCCCUUCACUACACUCUGUUGGUAUUGUCCUUUGGCAAGAAGAGCCAAACUUAAAGAAAAUCUUAAAAGAGCCAUUAAGGAUCUCUUGGUGCAAGUUCUUCUGGAACCUCUAGCGAUUUAACAACCCAGAAAAGGAAAUUGCAGGGUUAGGAGUCUGGAAAGGAGUUAUAAGUUUAGGGGAUAGCUGCCCAUUUUCCAAAUAGUUUUCUGUUUAAAAUAGCCAAGUCAGAUGCGAAUUGAAGGAAUCUCUUCACAGGUUGGCUGGCAUUGCCCUGUAAUGCUCUUUCAGUGCCCAGCUAAUGAUAAUUCUCUACAUGUGUAAUAAGUUUCAUAGUUGUAAAACUCUUACUAUGUCAUUUGGUAUUCAUCAACUCUCUUCAGUUGGCAGGUUAGGAAUUAUUAUUAUUAUUUUUUAAUUUUUAAAAAUACAGACACAGUUUCACUGUGUUGACCAGGCUAGUCUUAAGCUCCUGGGCUCAAGUGAUCUGCCCACUUCAGCCUCCCAAAGUGUUGGAAUUACAGGUGUAAGCCACCACACCCAGCCAGAAAUUAUUAUCUUUACUUUUACAUAAGGGAGAACUGAGGCUCAAAGACUUUAAGUGACUGCAAAAAUUACUCAGCUAAUGAGUAAUGGAGACAAGGCUUGAUUGGGAGACGGAAGACUUUGGUUUUAGACUAUGCAUAGGGUGGAGUGUGGGAAGGGAAGGCAGUGUUGUUUCAUAAAGGCCUGGACUUAAGCUCUGGUCAUGGUUAGGUCAGAGUUCUGAAUCUAGAAAGGAAGUUUCAGCUUUAAACAUUUGGCCCUUCCCCCAUUCCAAUGGCUGCCCAACCUCUCUUCAGUUUCUCUUCUAAAAGAUCGUAAGUCAAUACUAAUGUUUAGAGAGAAUUCUAGCACUUGGGGGCUGUGUGGGGAUGGCCACCUGUUAUGUUUUUGUUCUGCCUGCUUGGGGCUUGGUCUGACUCUAGUUUUGCAACUGGCUUCCUGUGUAACCCAUUCUUGGUAGUGUCAGACCACUACUUUCAAAGCUAGUUGUGCCUUCCACUUGGUUGAGCCAAUAACUUAUUCAGUUUUGCCAUGCUCCUGGACAUAUAGGAGUUGCUUGUUAGUACGGGAGAAUUGUUUGGGGGCUGCUUAGACCUAGCUAAUGUAGGGACUUGUUUGUACCUUGGUGGGACCAAGAGCAUCGAUCCAACUUUUUGUUGAGAGGAGGAGGUAUUAGAAAAUCAUGGAAAGGGCACUUUUUUAGUUCAAGAGCUGUUGUUUAUUCUGGGCCCUGCUGUUAGCUUUCCAGAGCAAUCUUGACCAAGACCUUGCUCCUUUUUGGGCCAUAGCCUGUUCCACAAGAGGUUGGUCUGGCUAAUCUCUGAGGGCUAUUUCCUGCUCUGAAGCUCUGAUUUAUUCAGAAAUGUUACACUCCACUAACAAUGGAGACUGGUCUGUCCCACCGUGGGUACAGGAAUGGUGGCACACAUCUCAAAAAUGGUUUUGUUCCAUGGGGAACUGAGCCAAAUGGACAACUUUACUAGCUCUGAAAGGUUAGAAGUGGUCAGCUGUGUCUGAAUUUUGUAAGGCAGCAUAACUGGGUGGAGGGGUGGGCAGGCAAGGGUGGCAGGCAUCAGAGGAUGGAUGAAGGGGUUCUUAGUUUCUUUGCAUUGGGUUAG